GGAAAAGCCUUCUUUCAGGCAGUAUACCACUCACUCCCUCACCUCAGAGACCUAUAUACUAGUAUAUAGGUCUCUGCUCACCUGUCUCUAAGGAAGAUUCAAUUCAAAACAAGAUGCUGCAGUCGAAAGAAUAUAAGUAGUUCGAAGAUGGACUCAAAAAUGAAAGUAAAGAGCUGAGAAAGUGACUACAUAAGCACAGAAAGAUACUCUGGUCUACUUUUGGAAAUGGCGUCCGGCUCAAACGACGGUGAUCGGAUAUAUCGGCGUAAGUAUUAUGUACUUGUACAUUUUUGUAGUAGAUAAG
Molecule: long non-coding RNA, 304 nt
Organism: Pecten maximus
Lineage: Eukaryota; Metazoa; Mollusca; Bivalvia; Pectinida; Pectinidae
Exons: 3
Source: RefSeq, a predicted model, not a curated record